UUUAAAGACAAUAGGAACAUGCCUGAUCCCGUCUGAUCUCGGAAGCUUAGCAGGGUCGGGCCUGGUUAGCACUUGGAUGGGAGACAACCUAGGAAGACUGGGCGAUGAAG
RNAcentral lists this ribosomal RNA (110 nucleotides) under Pteropus vampyrus (large flying fox). The record is from RNAcentral. Lineage: Eukaryota; Metazoa; Chordata; Mammalia; Chiroptera; Pteropodidae.